RNAcentral lists this transfer RNA (88 nucleotides) under Flavobacteriaceae bacterium. RNAcentral's name for it is "tRNA-Ala". It matches the Rfam family "tRNA". Rfam says of the family: Transfer RNA (tRNA) molecules are approximately 80 nucleotides in length. The record is from RNAcentral. Lineage: Bacteria; Pseudomonadati; Bacteroidota; Flavobacteriia; Flavobacteriales; Flavobacteriaceae.
GUAGCUCAUUGGUUAGUAGCUUUCGCAGAAAGCAGAUAGCGCUUGACUGGCAGUCAAGAGGUCGUGGGUUCGAAUCCCAUCUUCUCCA